This 528-nucleotide ribosomal RNA is filed under the name uncultured bacterium. RNAcentral describes it as "bacterial SSU rRNA". It matches the Rfam family "Bacterial small subunit ribosomal RNA", at positions 777 to 1304 of the family's 1533-position model. The record is from RNAcentral.
AAUAGAUACCCCGGUAGUCCACGCCGUAAACGAUGAGUGCUAAGUGUUAGGGGGUUUCCGCCCCUUAGUGCUGCAGCUAACGCAUUAAGCACUCCGCCUGGGGAGUACGGUCGCAAGACUGAAACUCAAAGGAAUUGACGGGGGCCCGCACAAGCGGUGGAGCAUGUGGUUUAAUUCGAAGCAACGCGAAGAACCUUACCAGGUCUUGACAUCCCGCUGACCGCUAUGGAGACAUAGCUUUCCCUUCGGGGACAGCGGUGACAGGUGGUGCAUGGUUGUCGUCAGCUCGUGUCGUGAGAUGUUGGGUUAAGUCCCGCAACGAGCGCAACCCUUGUCCUUAGUUGCCAUCAUUCAGUUGGGCACUCUAAGGAGACUGCCGUACAAAUACGGAGGAAGGUGGGGAUGACGUCAAAUCAUCAUGCCCCUUAUGACCUGGGCUACACACGUGCUACAAUGGACGGUACAAACGGUUGCGAAGUCGCGAGACGGAGCCAAUCCGAGAAAGCCGUUCUCAGUUCGGAUUGCAGG